RNAcentral lists this long non-coding RNA (200 nucleotides) under Vitis vinifera (wine grape). Its description in RNAcentral is "long non-coding RNA (VVIN_LNC003889)". The record is from RNAcentral. Lineage: Eukaryota; Viridiplantae; Streptophyta; Magnoliopsida; Vitales; Vitaceae.
AAAAAAAUUAAAUUCAUUGAACCGGCUGGUUCCCUCGGAACCGGCCGGUUCGUCCGGUUCACCGGUUGGACCGCCGGUUCAGGCGGUCCAAUCCCGGUUUGGUCUUCUUCCGGUCUAGUGACUGGACCGAACCGGAACCGUGACCGGUCGGCGGUCCAACCGGUCGGACCGGCCGGUCCGGUCCGGUUUUUAAAACCAUG